Coffea arabica (coffee) is the source of this 2154-nucleotide non-coding RNA. The record is from RefSeq and is a predicted model, not a curated record. NCBI's taxonomy places the organism in Eukaryota, Viridiplantae, Streptophyta, Magnoliopsida, Gentianales, Rubiaceae.
UUGGGAAAUUAGUACAAAAUUCACUCUUUUAGUGGUGGAUUUUGAUCUUUCAAAGACCAAAUCCUUGCAUGCUCAUCUGUAAUUUUGAAUUUUCCAUCACUCUACUAUAAGUGGUAGUUUAUUGUGUUGCAGAAUUUCUACGUGCAUAUAGAGGGGCUGCGCGUAUGGUUUAUCUGUGCUAGCCUAGUGUUGUAUGGAUGAGUCAAUGGCUGUUGGAAAGAUUAGCUCAGUUGUUAUGGUGGCUGGUCAACAAGAAUACAGUGCCUAAUGCUUGAAUGUUGAAGCGAAUUUAAUUGCUUAAAUUCUACUUGGUCACUAAGACAGAUUUAUCUCCCAAAAAUGUCGUACGAAUAUGGUAGUCUUGCCAUCCUGUGAGUUAAAACAAUAUUUAGCUUGCAGUCAUGCAUGGAUAAACUUAGUGCUUAGAGCCCAGCGUAGGACAAUAGGUUCCUUCUUCUUUUUUAUGUCAUUUAGAAUCCUCAAUCAUCUGAGUCUUUCCACUUUGGAAAAUUUCCUAGAUCAGUAGAGAUGCCUCAAGGUGUCAAAGAACUAGAUCUCACAUACUAAAAACCCUGGAUAUGUGGAUUGAGGUGCCCAAUGAGUAAUAGUUGUUUGGACACCUAAGGAUAUUAUGAAGUUAUUAGUUAAUAGGCACCUCCAUAAUAAAGCCUAUUUGAAUAAAAUUACAAUCUGUACAUGAAGACCUACUUUUUCAUUCAUAAAUUUUGGCGACCUAUUUCUAGAGAAAAUAACUUUCUUGGUCAGUUUACCCCGUUGAGUCAUUAAUGAAGGAUUUGAGGAAUGCAGCCCUAUGAAAUUGCAUAAUGGUGGAAAUAAUGCCAUUCCAUGUGAAUCCAACACCAUAUUUACAUCACAGAUUUUAAUCUAUGUUCUUGGUUGUGCCACAAAGAGAUCUGGUUGUAACAUGAAGAAAAUGCAUUCCUUUUUUCCUUUUCUUUCUUAUUGGGGAUUUAUUCUUCUAUCGUUUUCAAUUCCUUUUGGGGCACAAAUGUGGGCUGCUGGGUAGGUUAGAGAGAAUAGCUUCUUCAGCUUUACAACUGGAAUAAUUGAUGAGUAACUGAGAACAAAUGAGAUGAAUAUUUUGGAUCAUAGAAAGUCACUGAAGGCUUUGACUAUAAGAAUAUCUUAAGUUUUCUUCUAUAAACCAUUAUCGAUUCCAAAAGUUAUCUUUUUUUUUUGUGAGAUUGCAUGUCUGGGGCCCUCUUUUUCCCAAACAACUUUAAAUUGAGUGUAUCACUAUCUUUAUUUCGUGCUAAGAAGCUGUAGUCCAUAUUUACAUUGUAGCUAGUAAAGUGCCCAAAUUUGGAAUCAGAUCAUGGCCUGGUAUGUCGAGAUUAUUCAUGGAACUGAGUGGAGGACAGAAAGUCUUAGAUCUAUACCUUUUCAAUAUUCAAAGUAAAAGGUGAAACUUGACUGCACAAGAUUAUUAUUGUAGGUUAUGCUUUCCUGAAAGAGUUGGUUGGUCCCCAGAGAUCUUGACUCACAUGGUUACAGCCUUUUGAGUCUCGGAAAAUUCUGCAGCAUAGGCUAAUUGAAUGAUUAAAUUGCUAGACAUUUUCACAGCAAUAGCUGCUAUAGAUUGUAAGGAUAUUAGCUCUUUGAAUCUCUCUGACUAUUUGCUGAAAUCUACCCAUUCAUAGCAAUUUAGGAUUGCAAAACUUGUGGUAAAUUACAGCAACAUCUCUCAAGAUUCAUCAUAUUUAUUGGGACCUCCUGUUCUGUUUCUAAAACUGCAUUGUGUGUCCUCAAGUUAGUUUGGAAGAUUUACAGACCAUCUGUAGCUGUUAACAUCAAAAAAGCAUUUUAUUUAAGGUCAGGAGUUUCCUUUCAAACUAUUUGGACAGAUCAUCCUGUAUGAAACACAGGCAAAUUACUAUGACUGCUGUUUUUUGAACAGGAAUUGUUGACCAGGGAACUAAGUGUAAUUUGAGAAAAAAGAUGGAGAGCCUAUAGUUAUGACAGACCUCAGUUAAUGGUGUUCCAAUCAUUCUAUAGAAUUACCGGAGGAUGAGGUUAUGGAAUUACCAGAGGAUGAGGACAUUGUAAUAGUUUAACUAUGAGCAUUUCGCUGGCACUUUUGACUGAUGUAACUAAAGGCAAGGCCUUCUACAUGCAUCCUUUUGACAAGGUCCA